RNAcentral lists this long non-coding RNA (202 nucleotides) under Mytilus galloprovincialis (Mediterranean mussel). Lineage: Eukaryota; Metazoa; Mollusca; Bivalvia; Mytilida; Mytilidae. The record is from RNAcentral.
AAGAAAAAUAGAUAUACAUAUAAAAAAGAAGAUGUGGUAUGAUUUUCAAUGAGACAACUGUCCACAAGAGACCAAAAUGACACAGACAUUAACAACUAUAGGUCACCGUACGGCCUUCAACAAUGAGCAAAGCCCAUACCGCAUAGUCAGCUAUAAAAGGCCCCGAUAUGACAAUGUAAAACAAUUCAAACGAGAAAACUAA